Molecule: ribosomal RNA, 440 nt
Filed under: uncultured bacterium
Lineage: Bacteria
Description: partial 16S ribosomal RNA
Rfam family: Bacterial small subunit ribosomal RNA
Source: RNAcentral
CCUACGGGUGGCAGCAGUGGGGGAUAUUGCACAAUGGGGGAAACCCUGAUGCAGCGACGCCGCGUGUGGGAAGACGGUCUUCUGGAUUGUAAACCACUGUCCCCAGGGACGAAAAUGACGGUACCUGGGGAGGAAGCUCCGGCUAACUACGUGCCAGCAGCCGCGGUAAUACGUAGGGAGCAAGCGUUGUCCAGAAUUACUGGGUGUAAAGGGAGCGUAGGCGGGGAUGCAAGUUGGGUGUCAAAACUACCGGCUCAAACGAUGGUCGCACUCAAAACUGCAGCUCUUGAGUGAAGUAGAGGCAGGCGGAAUUCCUAGUGGAGCGGUGAAAUGCGUAGAUAUUAGGAGGAACACCAGUGGCGAGGGCGGCCUGAUGGGCUUUUACUGACGCUGAGGCUCGAAAGUGUGGGGAGCAAACAGGAUUAGAUACCCCUGUAGUC